RNAcentral lists this ribosomal RNA (440 nucleotides) under uncultured Psychrobacter sp. RNAcentral's name for it is "bacterial SSU rRNA". It matches the Rfam family "Bacterial small subunit ribosomal RNA", at positions 358 to 790 of the family's 1533-position model. The record is from RNAcentral. Lineage: Bacteria; Pseudomonadati; Pseudomonadota; Gammaproteobacteria; Moraxellales; Moraxellaceae.
GGAAUAUUGGACAAUGGGGGAAACCCUGAUCCAGCCAUGCCGCGUGUGUGAAGAAGGCCUUUUGGUUGUAAAGCACUUUAAGCAGUGAAGAAGACUCUUCGGUUAAUACCCGGAGACGAUGACAUUAGCUGCAGAAUAAGCACCGGCUAACUCUGUGCCAGCAGCCGCGGUAAUACAGAGGGUGCAAGCGUUAAUCGGAAUUACUGGGCGUAAAGCGAGCGUAGGUGGCUUGAUAAGUCAGAUGUGAAAUCCCCGGGCUUAACCUGGGAACUGCAUCUGAUACUGUCAGGCUAGAGUAGGUGAGAGGAAGGUAGAAUUCCAGGUGUAGCGGUGAAAUGCGUAGAGAUCUGGAGGAAUACCGAUGGCGAAGGCAGCCUUCUGGCAUCAUACUGACACUGAGGCUCGAAAGCGUGGGUAGCAAACAGGAUUAGAUACCCUGG